AUGGAAUAUACCAUCCGCGAGCUGCUGUUCGUACUCCCCUGUGCUGGAACCGUCCACCGGAGAUGCUUCAACCACGGCAGCGCGAGUGCGCGACCUCCUCCCCUACCGCUGCAACCAUCUGCUUCAAGACGAACUUUGGAAGCAUUUUUUUUUCUCUCCACCGAUGUUGCAACCGACCACCAAAAAAGCUACAACCGUUCAAUUCGAGAGCUUCAACUAGCGGUAUAUCAAGCUUCAACCGGACACCAUGCACUGAAAAAAGCUACAACCGUUCGUACGAAAAGCUUCAACCGUAGUAUGAAAAGCUUCAACAAGAGGUUAAAAAAGCUUCAACCAGAUAUGCAUGAAAAGCUUUUCAAGAAGUCAUUGCCAUGGCGGAAUGCUACAACCAUCGACAUAAAAUGCUACAACCCUUGA
This 417-nucleotide ribosomal RNA is filed under the name Triticum aestivum (bread wheat). Its description in RNAcentral is "partial small subunit ribosomal RNA". The record is from RNAcentral. Lineage: Eukaryota; Viridiplantae; Streptophyta; Magnoliopsida; Poales; Poaceae.